RNAcentral lists this ribosomal RNA (120 nucleotides) under uncultured bacterium. RNAcentral describes it as "partial 16S ribosomal RNA". It matches the Rfam family "Bacterial small subunit ribosomal RNA", at positions 215 to 334 of the family's 1533-position model. The record is from RNAcentral.
AUGGCAUAAGAUGGGCAUGCGUCUGAUUAGCUGGUUGGUGAGGUAACGGCUCACCAAGGCGACGAUCAGUAGGGGUUCUGAGAGGAUUAUCCCCCACACUGGUACUGAGACACGGACCAG